RNAcentral lists this ribosomal RNA (232 nucleotides) under uncultured bacterium. Its description in RNAcentral is "partial 16S ribosomal RNA". It matches the Rfam family "Bacterial small subunit ribosomal RNA", at positions 103 to 334 of the family's 1533-position model. The record is from RNAcentral.
CGGGUGAGUAACACGUGAGUAACCUGCCCUUAACUCUGGGAUAAGCCUGGGAAACUGGGUCUAAUACCGGAUAUGACUCCUCAUCGCAUGGUGGGGGGUGGAAAGCUUUAUUGUGGUUUUGGAUGGACUCGCGGCCUAUCAGCUUGUUGGUGAGGUAAUGGCUCACCAAGGCGACGACGGGUAGCCGGCCUGAGAGGGUGACCGGCCACACUGGGACUGAGACACGGCCCAG